Molecule: long non-coding RNA, 493 nt
Filed under: Fukomys damarensis (Damara mole-rat)
Lineage: Eukaryota; Metazoa; Chordata; Mammalia; Rodentia; Bathyergidae
Description: lncRNA (ENSFDAG00000027812.1)
Source: RNAcentral
GGAGAAGAUGAGGAAAGUUGCCCCCACGCCAGAGGCACAGGCUCAAAGGACACAAGAAUGAUAAAAAAAAAAGAAAAGGACACAGACACAGGAGAUGGUACUGGGGUGGCUAGUGAUUGCUGUGUGGGCAGCAAACUGUCAGAUGGAUCAGUUGGAACCAUCGUGGUUGGCAGCAUAGGCACUGGUUUCAGGUGCUCCCAGGGUCGCCUUAUGGGGGAAUUGGCCCACCCUGGUUCUUCAGAAAAUGCACACGCUCUGUUCUAAUCCCAGAAGAACCUCAAGUCCUGAUGGAUCACAUCUCUCCAGCACUCUUGGGGACCUCUAGACAGCACCAGCUCUGCCCCUUGAUACUGGGUGGACAGUCCUCUCUGUUCUGCUCCUGAAGAAUGCAGGGGAGAAGGGAUCGCCUCCAUCUUUCACUCUGGCUGUAUUUAUUCCUACCACCUUCCCCAGAGGACUGUGCCACCUGCAUCAGUCCACCCCUCCAGCCCUC